Long non-coding RNA from Piliocolobus tephrosceles (Ugandan red Colobus), 854 nucleotides. RefSeq lists it as uncharacterized. The record is from RefSeq and is a predicted model, not a curated record. The transcript is spliced from 2 exons. Lineage: Eukaryota; Metazoa; Chordata; Mammalia; Primates; Cercopithecidae.
UCUAGGGAGGGGCAUCUAUGGAUGAGGCUACCAUGUGGGAAAUUCUUGAGUGGGCAGUGAGAGAGGGUGAGCAACUCAAAGCAAGUAAUCCAAGAGUUAAUCAGGAGAGACACUCAAUCCAGAAAGUGCUCAUUAACCCAAGCCUUUCUGCAUAGUGUCCCUACCACCCUGCUGCCUCUAACUAAACAAAACACGGUAGGUCUCAGUGUGAGAGAGCGCUUUUGUUCACAUAGGAGGCUGACAGCUAUUUGCGAUGAGGGGUUUUUGUUUGUUUGUUUGUUAUUCAAAUAACUCUUUCCCCCUGAGGAAACUGAAAGGGAAAAUGUCAGAAGUAUGUGAUUAAUGAUUUUUAAAAAUAGAUGGGAUCUCCUGGUUGAAAUGAAAAGUAGGUAUUGAAAAGAAUCCAUUUCUAAAUGGUAGAUUUUCAUAUGUAAGUUUGAUAUUAAUUCUUUCAAAAGAGUUGUGCCUGUGAGUCAGAUAAAUGACAGGAAGGUCUGUCUAAAUACCAGCAUCCUCAGAAGGGCAGCUGUUCAGAAACAUUCUCAAAUCAUGAAGAUAAAUAGAACCGGAACACUGAUGAUUCCAUCAACUGAUGGUUUCUUUUAAUCAGAUCUUAAAGCAAAGACAGAAGCUGAAAACAUUUAUAGUAAAUAAACAGCAAAGAACUCUGAAAGCUUAGCCCACCAGAACCCCGGAAGGAGCCGGCCUGGUACUGCCAGGCAUGACUGGCUUUGGUGGAUUUAACAAUAAAAAAGAAGAUGGCGCCAAAUGACCAAACUACAUGCAGCCUUCCCUUCCCGCAACAAAAGUGGAUAAAACUUUCCACUGGGGCUGGGGGAGGAGGCAGGGGACCA